ACGCUCGACACCUACGGGAGGCAGCAGUGGGGAAUAUUGCACAAUGGGGGAAACCCUGAUGCAGCGACGCCGCGUGAAGGAUGAAGUAUUUCGGUAUGUAAACUUCUAUCAGCAGGGAAGAAAGUGACGGUACCUGACUAAGAAGCCCCGGCUAACUACGUGCAAGCAGCCGCGGUAAUCUGAGCGGGCUGGCAAGGC
RNAcentral lists this ribosomal RNA (198 nucleotides) under uncultured bacterium. RNAcentral's name for it is "partial 16S ribosomal RNA". It matches the Rfam family "Bacterial small subunit ribosomal RNA", at positions 328 to 539 of the family's 1533-position model. The record is from RNAcentral.